RNAcentral lists this unclassified non-coding RNA (329 nucleotides) under soil metagenome. RNAcentral's name for it is "partial contains 5.8S ribosomal RNA, internal transcribed spacer 2, and large subunit ribosomal RNA". The stretch from base 1 to 120 matches the Rfam family "5.8S ribosomal RNA", at positions 35 to 154 of the family's 154-position model. The record is from RNAcentral.
GAUGAAGAACGUAGCGAAAUGCGAUAAGUAAUGUGAAUUGCAGAAUUCAGUGAAUCAUCGAAUCUUUGAACGCACAUUGCGCCCCCUGGUAUUCCGGGGGGCAUGCCUGUCCGAGCGUCAUUACAACCCUCAAGCUCAGCUUGGUAUUGGGCCCCGCCGACCCGGCGGGCCCUAAAGUCAGUGGCGGUGCCGUCCGGCUCCGAGCGUAGUAAUUCUUCUCGCUCUGGAGGUCCGGUCGUGUGCUCGCCAGCCACCCCCAAUUUUUUUCAGGUUGACCUCGGAUCAGGUAGGGAUACCCGCUGAACUUAAGCAUAUCAAUAAGCGGAGGA